This 96-nucleotide transfer RNA is filed under the name Kitasatospora indigofera. RNAcentral's name for it is "tRNA-Asp". The record is from RNAcentral. Lineage: Bacteria; Bacillati; Actinomycetota; Actinomycetes; Kitasatosporales; Streptomycetaceae.
GUACCUGCGCGGGGGCGCCGGCAUCGCGGGUGUCGUCAGCGUCCACGGGGGCCUGGACGUCGUCGGGUCCGACUGGUCCGAGGCCGGUCGGGCACC